UACGUAGGGUGCGAGCGUUGUCCGGAAUUAUUGGGCGUAAAGAGCUUGUAGGCGGUCUGUCGCGUCUGCUGUGAAAAUCCGGGGCUCAACCCCGGACUUGCAGUGGGUACGGGCAGACUAGAGUGUGGUAGGGGAGACUGGAAUUCCUGGUGUAGCGGUGAAAUGCGCAGAUAUCAGGAGGAACACCCGUGGCGAAGGCGGCUCUCUGGUACGUGACUGACGCUGAGACGCGAAAGCGUGGGGAGCGAACAGG
This 253-nucleotide ribosomal RNA is filed under the name uncultured bacterium. RNAcentral's name for it is "partial 16S ribosomal RNA". It matches the Rfam family "Bacterial small subunit ribosomal RNA", at positions 524 to 776 of the family's 1533-position model. The record is from RNAcentral.